Papaver somniferum (opium poppy) is the source of this 2050-nucleotide long non-coding RNA. RefSeq lists it as uncharacterized. The record is from RefSeq and is a predicted model, not a curated record. The transcript is spliced from 5 exons. Lineage: Eukaryota; Viridiplantae; Streptophyta; Magnoliopsida; Ranunculales; Papaveraceae.
UUUCUCUUCUAACUGAAAAUUCUGCAACUGAAAUGAAAAACAACCUACAUUUUAAGCGAUUUGCAGACGAUCAAUGAUGGAGAUCAUGGAUUGAGUUGGUUUCUUUUCACUUCCUCGAUUAGGUAUGCAAGAUUUCUCAUCUCUUUUUCUUCUAAACAACGAAAAUUCAUAAAACCCAUCCCUACAACUGAAUCUCUUCUAAACAACGAUAAUUCUUAAUACCCAUCCCUGCAACUGAAUCAAUCACGGAGAUGAAGUAUUGAGUUGGUUGUUUUUCACUUCCUCUAUUAGGUAUCCAGAUGAGGGAGCUGGUGAAGUGCCCAUAUGCAUAAGCUUCAUGGUAACAGGGGAUUUUACAGACCACUAAUAUUGAGAUGGAUACAUCCCACUCAAAGAAACAUGAUGACCGAUGAACAAUAAGCUACUGAAGAAGAAAAGUGUGUUGUUGGCAAAAUAAAUCGUCGAUAAAACAUGACGGAUGAGGUGAAGUUGCUACAAAAUAGCGUAGGCGAUAUCAGUAUAGAGCUAAGCAGGCAGGCAGCAAAAUGUGGAAAACAGAAAUCAUGAAAGACUAAAUAAGAUGAGUAAGGUCCAUCUUCAAUGUACGGCCUAGGCACUAACUCUGCAAUGGAAGUGUUCGAUGAUUAUACAGUCAGAAUUUCUUUAUUACAUCUCCCCCUCUUUAAUGGCAACAAGCUUGAACUCAAAACACUAGCCAUUUUUGGUGUACCUGUACCUUUCGUACACCAAACGUGUUUUUCAAUGUAACCCGUUUUUUCCAUCAGCCGUUGGAUUAUCUUCAACUCCAACCACAGCCGUCCAUUUUUUUCUUUUCUUUCCUUAAUUUCCCACUUUCCCAGCCUUCAUUCUCUUCUCCGCUCUCUUUCUCUUCUUUUCUUUCUCAUCCCUCUGCUCCCAACAUCAAUCCACUAUUCUUUUUCGAUUAAAUCCACUAUUCUCAUCUCUCUGAUUUUGUUUCAAUUCAUCUCCUCCCUCAAAUCAAGUUUAGAUUGAUUUAAUUUUCUACCCCAAACAUAUUCUAGGUCAACUCAAUUGAUGAUUCUCAUCUCCACCCAAAUCGAGUUCCAGUUUGGGUUCACUGAUACGUCACCAUUGUCAUCAGGUGACUGAGAUUGAUGCUUUACUUUGACGACGAUCUUUAACUUCAACUGCGGAUGUUGUUGAAUGAUAUCAUUCUUGGACAAAAUUGAAGUUCUAAGAACCAACCUACCCAUAUUGUUGAAGAACAGUGGUCAAGAGACAGUAAUUUGAAUUGAGAGAUUCUGUAUUGUCAUUAUUAUUUUGAUAUUUGCAUUUGGAUGGAUUUGGCGCGCUGCUGUAUAUAAGGAACCCAAACAGAGAUGGAUGCAUCCCAAAGUUGUUUUGCCACUCGAAGAAACAUGAUGAUCGAAGAAUAACAAGCUAUUGAAAGAGAAAGGUGUCAUGUUGGCAAAAUAAAUCGUCGACAAAACAUGCUGGAUGAGGUGAAAUUGCUAUAAAAUGAGCGUUGGCAAAGGCGAAUUCAGUAUCUAGCUAGGCAGAAAAAUGUGAGAGACUAAGAUGAGUAAGUUCCAGCUUCAAGGUACCUAUCUAGGUUUUUGUUGCCGUCAUUAAUGAUAUCACUUUUCUUUCUUUGAUGCUGAUUUGUAGGCACUAACUCUGAAUUGAGAGUAUAACAGCGUACACCAAAGCACGUCCACUCCAUAAGUCCACAGCUCUCAAGUGCCAUAUUGCCAAUAAUAUAAUCAUGACGAAUGGAUACUUACCUAGAGUUUUGCGGUGAUCUCUGUCUCACCACAACUGGCCUUUUUCAUGGGAUAGUUGGACACUCAGGCACAGACCUCUGUAGCUAAGCACCAGAGUUUCUACAUAAACUCUUUUGUAUUUCUUACUGCAUGAUUCUACAAGAAUCACCAUAAUCACAAAAGCCACAUAUAUGUAUUGUAGGUCUAUUGAAGAUAGGAGAAGAAAAAUGUCAGUGCUGCAAGGAAUUUUGUUGACUUAAAGAUUGUGUGAUAGUUUUGCGAAAAUGAAGAAUACAUAUGAAAAA